This 72-nucleotide transfer RNA is filed under the name Camelus bactrianus (Bactrian camel). It matches the Rfam family "tRNA". Rfam says of the family: Transfer RNA (tRNA) molecules are approximately 80 nucleotides in length. Their secondary structure includes four short double-helical elements and three loops (D, anti-codon, and T loops). Lineage: Eukaryota; Metazoa; Chordata; Mammalia; Artiodactyla; Camelidae. The record is from Rfam by way of RNAcentral. RNAcentral also lists the same sequence under 3 other names.
GUGGGAAUAGCUCAGUGGUAGAGUGCAUGCUUAGCAUGCAUAAGGUCCUGGGUUCAAUCCCCAGUACCUCCA